UGAAUUCACUGAUGCUUGACUGUUCAGAUAUGCAGAGAGCAGUUUGUGGCACUUCAUGAACAGCCUGUCCUUGAGGAUCUGUGUCAGUAUCUCCUCCAGAUGUUCAGCAGGGAUGGUGGAUCAGAUUGUGAACCUGAAAUUGCCGAGACAUUCCUUAACUCGGUUUUGGCUGAGGUCCCAUCACGAGGUACAUUUGAUCUGCGGAGUGUGUUGAAGUCAGUCUACUUCUUCAGCUGAGAGCCUGGUGUUCCUCGUGCUGCUGUUGCUAGACAAGUAUAGCCUCUGCACCUCGACUGUGAUAUGACCAGGGGAAGUCGUGAAGCAUCUCCUGCAAUGUGCAGUGAAUGAGUAGUGAGAUCAUUGGUUUACUGGCUUGUGUUGUCAUGGAAACAAGGAAGAGUGGCUCUGUCUUGACACGUGACUUACAGGGGAUCUGUGUUCUGUUUCUGUGGCUAGACCGCCUCCGUGGUCUAGUGGUAGAGUGUCCGCCCGGAGAGUGGAAAGUCCGGGGUUCGAUUCCCGGCCGCAUCAUACCAAAAGACGUUAAAAGAUGGUACUUGUUGUUACCGCUCGGUAUUAAGGGGCUAAAACAGGACUGGUCGGCUCGGAGUCAGUAUACUGUGUCUGAGUGGGGUAUUCAUGUUAAACUGCAGCAUGGUUUCUCGGUGACCUAGCACUAUAAUUCAGCAUCAGUCCGGACUUGUACAAGCAGCCACACAAACACACACACAUACAUGCAGGUCGCUAUAUAAGUGCAAUAAUCUUGGACGCGACGUUUAACCCCAUUUCACCUCACCUUACCUGUUUCUGUGGCUACUCAUCAAUGUGGAUUGUAUUCUGUUCUGUCAAAAUUGGAGAAACACAGGACAGUCUUCUGUGAUACAAGUUCAAAACCCCCCAGUGUGAUUCAAAUAGCAUUGCAGUCAGAAUUCUGGAUCCAGUGGACAAAAUGGUCGACAUUUGGGACCCACCACCAUGAAUCUUCGUCUCAUGAAGGAUGCUAUCUUCCUCACAACAGGUUCAGAGUCUGCCCUUCAUGAGAGUUGCAUAAUUGGUGUGUCAGAAUCCUGGUUCGUCCUGAUGAUGUGUCUAGAUUCGUCAGUACCAAACCAAUGCUUGUGGGUUUCACCAAAAAGGCCAACAUCUGAGACCUGCAUCACUUCAGGUCUGAAAUACUAUUCGAAGCGGCAUUAAACCCAACUCACUCAUGCACUGAUGCAGUGUACAGCCUGAAGCUGUGACGCAUGAGAGGAAUACAGACCCCUGAAUGUUCUGCCGUGAUCCAAGUGUCUGCUCAAAUGUUGUUACCACACUGCCUGGUGUAGGACAUCUGUGUUAGUUGUUGUCAAGUGUUCUAAAUUGCGGAGUAGCUACCAAGGACCAAGGCUUGAGCGGACAAAUGUGUGACCUGGGUGAUAGUGUGCCAUCAUAUUCCAACAGUGUGACACCUUCUCAUGCUAUUAAUCACUGGUUUAUCUGGCUCACACUAUGACUGGAAUAUUGCAGACCGAGGAGUAAAACAAUAUUCACUCCCACACUCUCAAUUUGCAAAAGUAAUUAUGUGCCUUUUUGCAUUAUGUACAUGAUUGAAUGCAAAUUUGUUAGAGGUGUGUGAUCAAGUGUUGAAGUCGAAUUUUCUACAAAAAGGAUGAAUGUGACAUUUGUGUGCAAUAUCUGUAUUUUAAUUUGAGGAUUGUAGAAAAAAUGUUUUAUUAAUUGAAUAAGAAAGUGAAUGAUGA
Long non-coding RNA from Haliotis rufescens (red abalone), 1739 nucleotides. RefSeq lists it as uncharacterized. The record is from RefSeq and is a predicted model, not a curated record. NCBI's taxonomy places the organism in Eukaryota, Metazoa, Mollusca, Gastropoda, Lepetellida, Haliotidae. The transcript is spliced from 3 exons.